Non-coding RNA from Ictidomys tridecemlineatus (thirteen-lined ground squirrel), 582 nucleotides. The record is from RefSeq and is a predicted model, not a curated record. NCBI's taxonomy places the organism in Eukaryota, Metazoa, Chordata, Mammalia, Rodentia, Sciuridae.
UAACAGGCUGUAGUUACAGGACCAGCUGAAUGGAGAGAUGAAUGGAGAGACUGAUAACUGCCAUAAUAAUGACCCAGGGGACGUGUCGGUUUCCCUUCACCAUUCUAUCCUCGGCACGUUUGGCUCCUGUGGGAUGAAGCCUGCCUUCCGUUUCCUGUUGGCAUUGAUUCCAGAAAAGACUCAAUUAAAAGGAGUCUAAGUGGGUGAGUACGUUGACGGCAUGCUGAUCAUAUUUCGAGGCUGCCAUGGGGCUGAGAGAAGAGCUAAUAGACAGGAUGAAAGAAUAAUGAGCCAAAGCGGUGUUGACAGUCUGGGAAGCCGGGUCAAGUCAAGCAGCCUGGAGCAUAGCCCACUAAAUGCACCGGCCAGCACCUGAGUCCAAAUGAGAAGUUCUUCAAGGACAGCAGGUAACCUUCCCCCGAAUUCCAGAACAUUGUUCUGCUUGGGAUAAAGGCAAAAGCAGUCCUGGUUCACAAAGAUUAAUCUGGUGGGAUGCUUUUGGAAGCAAGGAUCAGAAAACUCGACUCACACUGGCUUGAACGGUAAGGACAUUUUUCAUCUCACAUUGCUUGAUCUAGUGGC